GACGAACGCUGGCGGCGUGCCUAAUACAUGCAAGUUGAGCGCUGAAGGUUGGUACUUGACCAACUGGAUGAGCAGCGAACGGGUGAGUAACGCGUGGGGAAUCUGCCUUUGAGCGGGGGACAACAUUUGGAAACGAAUGCUAAUACCGCAUAAAAACUUUAAACACAAGUUUUAAGUUUGAAAGAUGCAAUUGCAUCACUCAAAGAUGAUCCCGCGUUGUAUUAGCUAGUUGGUGAGGUAAAGGCUCACCAAGGCGAUGAUACAUAGCCGACCUGAGAGGGUGAUCGGCCACAUUGGGACUGAGACACGGCCCAAACUCCUACGGGAGGCAGCAGUAGGGAAUCUUCGGCAAUGGACGAAAGUCUGACCGAGCAACGCCGCGUGAGUGAAGAAGGUUUUCGGAUCGUAAAACUCUGUUGGUAGAGAAGAACGUUGGUGAGAGUGGAAAGCUCAUCAAGUGACGGUAACUACCCAGAAAGGGACGGCUAACUACGUG
Molecule: ribosomal RNA, 496 nt
Filed under: uncultured bacterium
Lineage: Bacteria
Description: partial 16S ribosomal RNA
Rfam family: Bacterial small subunit ribosomal RNA
Source: RNAcentral